GAGUUGGUAGCUCAGUGGUAGAGUGCAUGCUUUGUGUGUUUGAAGUCCAUGGUUCAAUCCCCAGGUCGCCACC
RNAcentral lists this transfer RNA (73 nucleotides) under Dallia pectoralis (Alaska blackfish). Its description in RNAcentral is "tRNA-Thr". The record is from RNAcentral. Lineage: Eukaryota; Metazoa; Chordata; Actinopteri; Esociformes; Umbridae.